RNAcentral lists this ribosomal RNA (513 nucleotides) under uncultured bacterium. Its description in RNAcentral is "bacterial SSU rRNA". It matches the Rfam family "Bacterial small subunit ribosomal RNA", at positions 38 to 561 of the family's 1533-position model. The record is from RNAcentral.
GGCGGCGUGCUUACACAUGCAAGUCGAACGCUGUCCAUUCGGUAGCAAUACUGAUGAAGACGGAGUGGCGAACGGGUGAGUAGCACGUGAGCAACCUGCCCCGAAGACUGGGACAACACCGGGAAACCGGUGCUAAUACCGGAUAUCCCCACCUGACCGCAUGAUCGGGUGAGGAAAUGAAUUUCGCUUCGGGAGGGGCUCGCGGCCUAUCAGCUUGUUGGUGAGGUAACGGCUCACCAAGGCUUCGACGGGUAGCUGGUCUGAGAGGACGAUCAGCCACACUGGGACUGAGACACGGCCCAGACUCCUACGGGAGGCAGCAGUGGGGAAUCUUGCGCAAUGGGCGAAAGCCUGACGCAGCAACGCCGCGUGAGGGACGAAGGCUUUCUGAGUUGUAAACCUCUUUCAGCAGGGACGAUUGUGACGGUACCUGCAGAAGAAGCACCGGCCAACUACGUGCCAGCAGCCGCGGUGAUACGUAGGGUGCAAGCGUUGUCCGGAUUUAUUGGGCGU